AUUGAACGCUGGCGGAAUGCUUUACACAUGCAAGUCGAACGGUAGAGGGGCAACCCUCGAGAGUGGCGAACGGGUGAGUAAUAUAUCGGAACGUGCCCAGUCGUGGGGAUAACGUAGCGAAAGUUACGCUAAUACCGCAUACGAUCUACGGAUGAAAGCGGGGGACUCGUAAGAGCCUCGCGCGAUUGGAGCGGCCGAUAUCAGAUUAGGUAGUUGGUGAGGUAAAGGCUCACCAAGCCAACGAUCUGUAGCUGGUCUGAGAGGACGACCAGCCACACUGGAACUGAGACACGGUCCAGACUCCUACGGGAGGCAGCAGUGGGGAAUUUUGGACAAUGGACGCAAGUCUGAUCCAGCCAUUCCGCGUGCAGGACGAAGGCCUUCGGGUUGUAAACUGCUUUUGUACAGAACGAAAAGGUCUCUAUUAAUACUAGGGGCUCAUGACGGUACUGUAAGAAUAAGCACCGGCUAACUACGUG
RNAcentral lists this ribosomal RNA (479 nucleotides) under uncultured bacterium. RNAcentral's name for it is "bacterial SSU rRNA". It matches the Rfam family "Bacterial small subunit ribosomal RNA", at positions 30 to 507 of the family's 1533-position model. The record is from RNAcentral.